Molecule: ribosomal RNA, 292 nt
Filed under: uncultured microorganism
Description: partial 16S ribosomal RNA
Rfam family: Bacterial small subunit ribosomal RNA
Source: RNAcentral
GUGCCAGCAGCCGCGGUAAUACGAAGGGGGCUAGCGUUGCUCGGAAUUGCUGGGCGUAAAGGGCGCGUAGGCGGCACUGUUAGUCAGGCGUGAAAGUCCUGGGCUCAACCUGGGAACUGCGCUUGAUACGGCAGAGCUAGAGGAUGGAAGAGGCUCGCGGAAUUCCCAGUGUAGAGGUGAAAUUCGUAGAUAUUGGGAAGAACACCGGUGGCGAAGGCGGCGAGCUGGUCCAUUACUGACGCUGAGGCGCGACAGCGUGGGGAGCAAACAGGAUUAGAUACCCUGGUAGUCC